UGAUGUCAAAAGGGGAUUUGACAACUUUAAAAAGUUUUGGAAAUUAUUACGAGCAAAAGAAAAGUUGUUAAAUGGGAACUUAAAAUAUUUUUGUUAACUUACAUAGUCAAAAUGAAAUUUAAAAUAAUUUGAGAAUGUUUAGCUACAACGUUAAGUUUAUCACUAGCGAAGAAACAUUGUAUCUAAAAAGCGGUGACUUUAAAAGUUAUAAGUAUGAAACAAAAAAACGCUUAGAUGAAACAGUAUACGAUGCAGGAAAACGGAACUAUUGCGAACGCCGCGGUGGUUAUUGGAGAAUACCAAAAUCUAGUCAACUACGGCAACUCGAAUCAACUUUAAGAGACCGCCAUGUAGUAGAAUGUAUAUGGGUGACUGACUUACUGGCUACAUUGGUAUUUUCUUCAGGUGUAAUAGCUUAUGCCUCUAUCAAACCUAAAACAUUAGAUGUAACACAAAUACUUUUUGAUAGGUACUGUAUUGGCAAAUUAUCAGGUCAAACUGUUACAGGAGUUGUUUUCACCAAGACCCACCUGCUAUUCACCCAUGCAGAGAGAACUGCAACUCUUUUCACAUUUGGAAAGACCAUUGAGAAUAGCAGUCACCCUUGUCGACUGUCUGAUAGAGAUCCACAUGUACAGGUGCUUGAGCUUGGUGGAGCUAGGCGAGCUGAGAGAAGACUUUCUUGGUGCUGUGAUGGCAGUGGGGUUAAAGUGCUACUGUGGAGUGCGGCCAGUGCUGAGCCAGCGCCAUGGAGCCCUGUACUGGAAGACCUAGCAAAUCUUCACUUAUAUCAGAUACAUGGGCAGCAAGUAAGUUUAAUUGCAUUUCACCAACUUGAAAAUGAAGUGCUAUGUGCUGAGUUAUCGCAAAAAAACGACAAUGUUGUACAUAUUGUUGAACAAACUGCUUGUCACAAGAAUGGUGUAACAGUGGAAUGGCAGCAGUUCGAUAUAUCCAACCCGGAGGAGAGGGUUGUUCACUUGAGUGCAUUGCGAGUGGGUGCAACGCGAGUGUCGUUGCCCGCCGUGGUGCGUGUCGCGCGCCGCUCGCACUGCGGGCACAGGCUACUUGCAACUUGUAUAGAUGGAUCUCUGCAUAUUAUACACCAAGCUACAGGAUUGACGCAUUCAGUACGCGCUGGUUUUAUACCAACAGACGUGCGCUGGGCGGGCGAGCUGGUGCUCGCAGUGGAGGAAGCGGGACGGCUUCAGUGCUUCGAUCGCGCCCUCUCGCUCUUACACCACCAUACUAAGUGCCUUGACUUAGUAUCACAUUUUAGAGAUACAAGACGAAUGCAAGUUCUUGCGACACGAGAUAUGAAAAGUGGUCCGAUAAUAUUGGCACUAUUUGCUGGCGGACCAUUGACACUGCUUCAUAUCACGCACCAAAGACUUUUAACGGCAUGGAUAAGAGCGGAUCGAACGUCAAACGCCGUGUCUCUCUUACGUGCGAUGGACUGGGAGGAAGAGGGGAUAGAAUGUCUACGAGCUCUCAGUGAACUUGUACACGGCGCGUUGCGAAACUCGCAACAAGACAAGACUAUGAACAAUGAGAACGCAGCCCAGGCAGCACUAGGUGCCUUCCUAGCACCCUCCGUGCCACUGGGAACUUCGGCCUUACGCUUUGCGCCACCUGUACAUGAUCUAGCAAGGAAGUUCUUCCAUCAUUUACUUAGACGUGGGCGUAUCGAGAAGGCGCUGAGCCUGGCGGUGGACCUGUCUGCGUGGGAUCUGUUCGCGGACGCGCGCUGGGCGGCGCGGCGAGCGGGACAGCCGCACCUCGCGCGUGAGGCCGCACGCGCCGCACAUCACUACGCACAUCUGCAUGCUGACGAUUCAGAAUGUUCGGAGUCUUGCUCGCAAUGCAGUUCGCGAACUUGCUCGGAAUCCGAAGAGGAGCUGACUGGUUACACCCGCAACGGCAAAACCACGCCCCCACCUCUACCGCGCCUCCCGCAGCCCCCGCAACCUACCAUAUUGCCUGUACCUAUAACACAAAACGAACCAACAUCCACACACAGCAUCAGACCCAAUCUACAUCAGUAUCUAGAAAGAGACAACACUAUAUGGAACACGGAGUUACGAGACGACACCUGCAUUGAUAGAAAAAUGUACGAAGAACAUUUCAAACCGAUCAGAAACCUACAAACUGUGAAAUGGCAAAGUGUAGACAACAUGUUAAUGAACUAUAGAAAACCUUUAAGCAAUGCUAACACUGAUGUACCAAGAUCUCAUUUAUUCGAUGUCAUACCUAGAGUACAAGAUGACAAAGUAUCACAUUUCAAACAUGUUUACCAAACAGAUUUGAGAGAAGCGAUACCAACUACUUAUAGAUAUCAGAGUAAUAUCAAUACCAAUGCCAACGGGAGACUGUAUAGACAUGACAGUACUUGGUCAGGUAAACCUCUCGAGAAGAAUAAAGUCAAAUUUUCCGAUACCGUGACAGUUGCAGUUGUGUCAGAGCCGCCAUCAUCACCCGACGCGGCACACGAAUUAGCGGACAGCCUACCUUUGUGCGCUCCCCACAAGUACCUAGCGAACUUCGCCCCCGCCCCAACAGUACCGAAGCCCCCGGCAAAGAUUCCUACAGCUAAUAAGUUAACAAUCAGCAAGGUGCCCACAAUCGCCAAGCCAAACGCCAAACCAAUCGCCAAGGUCGCCACAUCGCCAUCUCAAUCGCCAACCGGUACUACGCUCGACUACGUGGAAGUGUGACGCAUGCCGAGAUUAUGUCACUAAUGUGUGUUAACAUUUUGCACAAAUAUGCAUGCAUCACAAUUAACUAACAUAUGUUUGUGAUAACAGUGUGUCCCAAAUAAAGCCCUGAACUUUUAAACAAAAACUGAUGAACUGCUAUUACUGACUUGGGAGCAAUUUUUAUUUUCGUCGGAAAUGCAAUUUUAUAAUCCUGUUCCACAGCCGCCUAAAAUUAAAGUGGUACACUUUGGAAUGGUUUAAUGCAAUGUAUAAAAUAAAAAUAUAAGUAUCAGUCCGUCCAUUAGCUUAGUUUAAUAUUGCUAUUAAGACUACCUCAAAAUCAGAAUCUAAAUAAAUAUAGUAUAUUGAAAAACAUCUGCUUAAUAAGUGUUUAUUGCAGUUUUUUAUAUUUUUAUACACAACAUUAAAAAUAAAAUGAUGUGAUAACUUAUGUUGUGUUUUAAUUUUAAUAAUACAAUUUAUGUAAUUCUAGCUGUCUCCCACAAAUUAAAAGCAAAGUUAAUAAGUAGCCUUUGUGUUCUUCCAGACUAUGUUCUAGAUUUAUGCCAAAUUUCAGUCAGAUCUGUACAGCCAUUAUAUCUUCAAUCAUUCAUCCAUCUAACAUUCACAUUUAUUUUACAUAUUAGUAAGAUAUGCUUACUCAAACAUGGCUCCCAGUUUCGUAAAAAGCUACCAAUUAACUAUUGUACUUUUUCAAUGUAAGGACU
This is an RNA transcript of Papilio xuthus (Asian swallowtail), 3424 nucleotides long. It is a transcript of the gene named WD repeat-containing and planar cell polarity effector protein fritz, with no coding region annotated. The record is from RefSeq and is a predicted model, not a curated record. NCBI's taxonomy places the organism in Eukaryota, Metazoa, Arthropoda, Insecta, Lepidoptera, Papilionidae. The transcript has 13 exons.